UACGAGGGGGGCAAAUGUUGUUCGGAAUCACUGGGCGUAAAGGGUGCGUAGGUGGUUUUGUAAGUCAGUGGUGAAAGCCCGGAGCUUAACUCCGGAACUGCCAUUGAUACUGCUUAACUUGAAUCAACUUGAGGUGGAUGGAAUAUUACAUGUAGCGGUGAAAUGCUUAGAUAUGUAAUAGAACACCGAUUGCGAAGGCAGUUCACUAAGGUUGUAUUGACACUGAGGCACGAAAGCGUGGGGAUCAAACAGG
This 253-nucleotide ribosomal RNA is filed under the name uncultured bacterium. RNAcentral's name for it is "partial 16S ribosomal RNA". It matches the Rfam family "Bacterial small subunit ribosomal RNA", at positions 524 to 776 of the family's 1533-position model. The record is from RNAcentral.